AACGAACGCUGGCGGCGCGCCUAAUACAUGCAAGUCGAGCGAGAAGACGUAGCAAUACGUUUGUAAAGCGGCGAACGGGUGAGGAAUACAUGGGCAACCUACCCUCGAGUGGGGAAUAACUAGCCGAAAGGUUAGCUAAUACCGCGUACGCUCCUUGGACUUCGGUUCAGGGAGGAAAGCGAUACCGUGGGUAUCGCGCUCUUGGAUGGGCUCAUGUCCUAUCAGCUUGUUGGGAGGUAACGGCUCACCAAGGCUUCGACGGGUAGCUGGUCUGAGAGGACGAUCAGCCACACUGGCACUGCGACACGGGCCAGACUCCUACGGGAGGCAGCAGUAAGGAAUAUUGCGCAAUGGGCGAAAGCCUGACGCAGCGACGCCGCGUGGGGGAUGAAGGUC
RNAcentral lists this ribosomal RNA (396 nucleotides) under uncultured bacterium. RNAcentral describes it as "bacterial SSU rRNA". It matches the Rfam family "Bacterial small subunit ribosomal RNA", at positions 29 to 416 of the family's 1533-position model. The record is from RNAcentral.